Molecule: non-coding RNA, 632 nt
Organism: Paramuricea clavata
Lineage: Eukaryota; Metazoa; Cnidaria; Anthozoa; Malacalcyonacea; Plexauridae
Source: the annotation of a GenBank genome assembly
CAAUAUCCCUUUCUUGGUUUUCCUUGGAUAGGUUUUAACAAGAUAGAACUCUAGAUCCCUUGGGUCCAAAGACGCUAGAUUAUAAAAUCCUGAUGUGACUUGAUACUACAAAUAGAAUAUGUCUUAUGAUUUAAUACUACAAAUAAAAUGUCUUUUAAGUACAAACUUCAAUGAAUUGAUAAAGUGUAAGGAUAGUGUUUAAAGUUGCUUCAUGUGUAGAAGCUGAAUUACUUUAGUUUAUACACUGUAAUGUCGAGAUCACAUGUUGAUAUGACUUAAUACCAGCAACUUGCAAUAAGUGGUCUGUUCUGCUUGUUUAUAAUACUUUAGAGUUUGGACAUUAGAACAUUGUAAUUGCCUGACAGAGAUUGUUAGGGCCUGUUUGUAUGGAAGCCAGGCUGGCCCGCUUAGCAAGACAGCCCGGUAAGGUAGAUAAGCAGUAUGAUUUCUCUUGUGUUUAUUUGAGAAAAUUUCAUUCCGCUUACCGGGACAAUUUUGUUGUUUUGACAUUAUUUUGACAGUUGUUAAAAAUAGCUUGCGGCAGUAUCUUUGAACUUUCAUCCCGGCAACCGGGCUAGCCUGCUUAUGAUUGUUUAUGUGGAGAAAUUUCCAUCCUGGUCUUGGCAACCGGG